UUAGAGUUUGAUCCUGGCUCAGAGCGAACGCUGGCGGCAGGCCUAAUACAUGCAAGUCGAACGAACCCUUCGGGGUUAGUGGCGGACGGGUGAGUAACACGUGGGAACGUGCCCUUUGGUUCGGAACAACUCAGGGAAACUUGAGCUAAUACCGAAUGUGCCCUUCGGGGGAAAGAUUUAUCGCCAUUGGAGCGGCCCGCGUCUGAUUAGCUAGUUGGUGGGGUAAAGGCCCACCAAGGCUACGAUCAGUAGCUGGUCUGAGAGGAUGAUCAGCCACACUGGGACUGAGACACGGCCCAGACUCCUACGGGAGGCAGCAGUAGGGAAUCUUGCGCAAUGGGCGAAAGCCUGACGCAGCCAUGCCGCGUGAAUGAUGAAGGUCUUAGGAUUGUAAAAUUCUUUCAGCGGGGACGAUAAUGACGGUACCCGCAGAAGAAGCCCUGGCUAACUUCGUGCCAGCAGCCGCGGUAAUACGAAGGGGGCUAGCGUUGCUCGGAAUCACUGGGCGUAAAGCGCACGUAGGCGGCUUUUUAAGUCGGGGGUGAAAUCCUGGAGCUCAACUCCAGAACUGCCUUCGAUACUGAGAAGCUUGAGUCCGGGAGAGGUGAGUGGAACUGCGAGUGUAGAGGUG
This 631-nucleotide ribosomal RNA is filed under the name uncultured bacterium. RNAcentral describes it as "bacterial SSU rRNA". It matches the Rfam family "Bacterial small subunit ribosomal RNA", at positions 1 to 683 of the family's 1533-position model. The record is from RNAcentral.